This is a long non-coding RNA of Ceratitis capitata (Mediterranean fruit fly), 234 nucleotides long. RefSeq lists it as uncharacterized. The transcript is spliced from 3 exons. Lineage: Eukaryota; Metazoa; Arthropoda; Insecta; Diptera; Tephritidae. The record is from RefSeq and is a predicted model, not a curated record.
GAAAAUAUCUUCUUCUUCUCGAUUAGAGUGCCGUUGUUCAAUAUCAAAUAUGGCGUGCAACGAAGGCGAAAAUCAAAAGGAAAACAAAGAUUCGCUCGUUGCAAGGCAUAUGCUGGAUAAAGCAGUAGAAUACCACCAGUAAUUUUGGCAGUACUACGUACAGAUGCAACCGACAACGGGACCAAUAGCACGUGCCAAAGCCCCCAAUGAACGGAAAAUGCCAAGGACUGAACC